GCAGUCGAACGCGUUGGCCCAAUUGAUUGAUGGUGCUUGCACCUGAUUGAUUUUGGUCGCCAACGAGUGGCGGACGGGUGAGUAACACGUAGGUAACCUGCCCAGAAGCGGGGGACAACAUUUGGAAACAGAUGCUAAUACCGCAUAACAGCGUUGUUCGCAUGAACAACGCUUAAAAGAUGGCUUCUCGCUAUCACUUCUGGAUGGACCUGCGGUGCAUUAGCUUGUUGGUGGGGUAACGGCCUACCAAGGCGAUGAUGCAUAGCCGAGUUGAGAGACUGAUCGGCCACAAUGGGACUGAGACACGGCCCAUACUCCUACGGGAGGCAGCAGUAGGGAAUCUUCCACAAUGGGCGCAAGCCUGAUGGAGCAACACCGCGUGAGUGAAGAAGGGUUUCGGCUCGUAAAGCUCUGUUGUUAAAGAAGAACACGUAUGAGAGUAACUGUUCAUACGUUGACGGUAUUUAACCAGAAAGUCACGGCUAACUACGUGCCAGCAGCCGCGGUAAUACGUAGGUGGCAAGCGUUAUCCGGAUUUAUUGGGCGUAAAGAGAGUGCAGGCGGUUUUCUAAGUCUGAUGUGAAAGCCUUCGGCUUAACCGGAGAAGUGCAUCGGAAACUGGAUAACUUGAGUGCAGAAGAGGGUAGUGGAACUCCAUGUGUAGCGGUGGAAUGCGUAGAUAUAUGGAAGAACACCAGUGGCGAAGGCGGCUACCUGGUCUGCAACUGACGCUGAGACUCGAAAGCAUGGGUAGCGAACAGGAUUAGAUACCCUGGUAGUCCAUGCCGUAAACGAUGAGUGCUAGGUGUUGGAGGGUUUCCGCCCUUCAGUGCC
This 834-nucleotide ribosomal RNA is filed under the name Limosilactobacillus fermentum. RNAcentral's name for it is "bacterial SSU rRNA". It matches the Rfam family "Bacterial small subunit ribosomal RNA", at positions 57 to 847 of the family's 1533-position model. The record is from RNAcentral. Lineage: Bacteria; Bacillati; Bacillota; Bacilli; Lactobacillales; Lactobacillaceae.